CUCGACGACGAGAGACGCUCUUCUCUCCUCCCCUCUCCGCCAUUGUUCGUUCGUUCCUUCUCGACGGCAAGCCAUAUCUACCCGUCAAUCGGAAAUUUGCGAACUCUGUAUCAAUCGAAUUCACUUUCUAAAUCUGACUUUUCUUCUCGAUUCGUACUCUCUCCCUUAGAAUCCUCGGUCGUCGAUUUCGAUUUCUAGGGUUCCGCUGUUCAGAUCACAAGUUCUACUUCAAUAUUGAAGCGAUUUGAUCACGAGUUGCUGUUUGUUGGGUGUGUAUUUCAGUUUUUUUUUCUGACAUCUCGAGGUUUAGUCUCUGCGAUUGUGAUUUUGAACACGGCUAGUUAGCUGGAAGCAGAUUGAGUUCGUCAAAUUAGGAUUUGGGGUUUAUUUUACCCUUUCUCACUGACGUUAAGUUUGGAAUUGACUUUAUGGCGGCUGGGAGGAAUGUAAGAUAUUCUGACCGUGAACUGAGGGACCAGGAAUCGAAUUCUAGAUUUUCCAGGCGGGAUAGUGCUUACUCUAAUGAGGAUUAUGAUCAUGUUAGGAACGGUGCUCUUGAUAAUGAAAAGGGAUGGGCUAGUAAUCUAAGACACGGGGAUAGUGGUCAAGAUAGAGAUAUGAUUAGGUCAGGAGCUAGACAGCAAGAGAGAGGAAUGGUUAAUAGUGGGUGUCGGUUAUCGAAGAGCAAUCCAGGUAGCAGGGAAGUCUUGAUUGAUCGUGGUCCGAAAAGAUGUGGGCUUUCAGCUAGGUCUGUGGAUAGGGAACCAGGUGAGCUCUCUAGUGAGAGUGGGUCAGAUGAUUUGAACGAGUCUGAAUCAUUGGUGAAAAAUAAUGGAGUUGUGAAGCAGGUAGAGAAUACAGCUCAAAGCCCUGUAGAAAAGAAAAGAAAGUUUUCACCAAUAGUAUGGGACAAAGAUGACAAUGAAAGAAGUAAUUUGAGCAGAACUGAAAAACCUGUUGAGGUCACUCCUCCUCCUCCCCUACCACCACUAAUUAAGAGGUCAAGCCAGUCACCUAGGGUCAAUUGUGAUGGGAAUUCUCAUUUUUCACCUGCAAAGCGUAAUAUGCAUCAAGACCCCGUGCAACUUGGUGUAUCUGCAGUUCCUGUGCCUGCUUUAUCACCUUCGGUAGAGAUGUCUUCUUUGUGUGUGGUAGACCAAUCAUCAAAUGCUGGGCAUGGCAAACAAGGGGAUGCAAGACACCUGGAAGAGGAGGAAAACAUGCCAAUCAGGCAUAUAUCUUCCUCUAGGUGGGCAGCUGGCAACAGUUCCCCAACUGAUGAAGGUGAAAUAGUAGAAGAAGUGGGAGCAAAUAAAAGGAGGAAAAAGCCAUUUCCCGUGCAGGGGAGAUUGCGCACUAAGUCUCAAACACCUGAGGUUGGGGAGUUAGUGAGGGAAGGUUAUAGAUCAUCUGAUUCCGGUGAAACAGGGCACCAUUCUUUGCCGGGAAGUAGAGAUGAUUCUGAGGAGAAGGAUGCUGUUAAGGGUGACAAGAUGGAAAUAGAUGAGGAGGAACACAGAAGAGGAAACUCCAGUUACAGCCUUAGUGAAACAGAUUCCGAUGAAGAAUAUGUUCAGCAUGAAACACCCGAACCUGCCAGUACUCCACUAAGAAGUAUAAACAUGCUCCAGGGUUGUAGAAGUGUUGAUGAAUUUGAGAGAUUAAAUAAGAUAGAUGAAGGUACCUAUGGUGUUGUUUAUAGAGCAAAGGAUAAGAAGACAGGUGAAAUUGUGGCAUUGAAGAAGGUGAAGAUGGAAAAAGAAAGAGAAGGUUUUCCUUUGACUUCUCUUAGGGAGAUUAACAUACUUCUUUCGUUUCAUCAUCCAUCAAUAGUGGAUGUAAAAGAGGUGGUCGUGGGUAGUAGUCUUGAUAGCAUUUUUAUGGUGAUGGAAUAUAUGGAACAUGAUCUUAAGGCAUUGAUGGAGACAAUGAAGCAGCGCUUCAGUCAAAGUGAAGUUAAAUGCUUAAUGCUUCAACUUUUAGAGGGCGUCAAGUAUCUUCAUGACAACUGGGUGCUUCAUCGAGAUUUGAAAACAUCGAACCUGCUUUUAAACAAUCGAGGGGAGUUGAAGAUAUGUGACUUUGGUUUGGCUCGGCAAUAUGGCAGCCCGCUGAAGCCGUAUACUCAUCUGGUUGUUACGCUUUGGUACAGGGCACCUGAGCUUCUCUUGGGAGCAAAACAAUAUUCUACAGCCAUUGACAUGUGGUCACUGGGAUGUAUCAUGGCAGAACUAUUGUCGAAGGCGCCGUUGUUCAAUGGGAAAACGGAGUUUGAUCAACUUGACAAGAUUUUCAGAAUACUUGGUACUCCCAAUGAGUCCAUUUGGCCUGGGUUCUCCAAGCUGCCUGGAGUCAAGGUCAACUUUGUCAAGCAUCAGUAUAACCUACUACGUAAGAAAUUCCCAGCCACUUCAUUCACUGGUGCCCCAGUUCUGUCCGAUGCUGGGUUUGACCUGCUGAAUAAGCUCCUAACGUAUGAUCCGGAGAGGAGAAUAACUGUUGAUGAAGCUCUAAAGCAUGAUUGGUUCCGUGAAGUCCCUCUACCAAAAUCCAAAGAUUUCAUGCCUACUUUCCCCGCUCAACAUGCCCAAGACAGGCGUGGGAGGAGAAUGGUGAAGAGCCCUGAUCCUUUGGAAGAGCAACGUAGAAAGGAUUUAACCCAAACCGAACUUGGGUCUGGUGGUCUGUUUGGCUAAGUGUUACCCACCUGGUGAAGAUAGCAUUUGGAAUACAACCUUGAUACUCUCAGUUACCUUGAAAAUACCACAUUUUAGGCGAGGGCUGCUGCUUAAGCGGAGGUUGGAACAUUUGUAUCUCAGAAUAUCAUUUAUGCUUUCUUUACUCACUUUGAGGGUCCAUGGUGAUUUGUGAAGAUAAUUUUCCUCCUAUCGCCACCGAGAAUCCUUGCAGGUUUAAUGUGUUUACAAGCUAGGCUGGUCAGUUAGUAGUGCUACGGCUUUCUGACAGUGCUUGUUCUGUAAGAAACACUGGUGUUGAAGUGGAGUGAGACUCUUCUUGUCUUGAAGAAGAAUUGAUGCAAUUGCCGAUGAAAUCUCUGCGAGCCGGGAAUAUCUGUAUUCAAGCUAUAACUCAUGCCCAGAGACAUGUCAUCGGACCAGAAAUGGUGCUGCAAGCUCGCGUGGGUCAAGGUCUGGGGGACUCUAGGUCUUCAUAAAGUCCUAGAUUUGCACUGGGCAUGCAUCUUAUCAUUUGACAUACUACUGGAGUGUUUUGGUGAUGUUGGACAUGACUCUCUGGUCUUUUCAUUGAGGACCAAGGAAUCUGAUAUGCAUUGCCAAGUAAUUGCAGAACAAACUGUUCCGAUGUGGUCAAUCUCCAAUUGCUAAUUAAAAACUGGACCAAGGGCAUUCUCCAAUUGCUUUAAAAGAACUGGUCCAAAGUCUGGACUGUGCGUUGUGGUAAACUCGAAAUGCCCAAAAGUCACUCACUAAGAUGGUGUAACAGAGGUUUUAUUAAAUGUUUAGUGGCAAGACAGAUAGAACAAGAACUAUAAUUUUCAGUUUGUGAUACAAA
Molecule: RNA transcript, 3534 nt
Organism: Capsella rubella
Lineage: Eukaryota; Viridiplantae; Streptophyta; Magnoliopsida; Brassicales; Brassicaceae
Gene name: cyclin-dependent kinase G-2
Exons: 8
Source: RefSeq, a predicted model, not a curated record